ACACGGUCCAGACUCNUACGGGAGGCAGCAGUGGGGAAUAUUGGACAAUGGGCGCAAGCCUGAUCCAGCCAUGCCGCGUGUGUGAAGAAGGCCUUCGGGUUGUAAAGCACUUUUGUUGGGGAAGAAAAGCACUGGGUUAAUACCUUGGUGUCAUGACGGUACCCAAAGAAUAAGCACCGGCUAACUUCGUGCCAGCAGCCGCGGUAAUACGAAGGGUGCAAGCGUUACUCGGAAUUACUGGGCGUAAAGCGUGCGUAGGCGGUUUGUUAAGUCUGUCGUGAAAGCCCCGGGCUCAACCUGGGAAUGGCGAUGGAUACUGGCGAGCUAGAGUACGGUAGAGGAGAGUGGAAUUCCCGGUGUAGCAGUGAAAUGCGUAGAGAUCGGGAGGAACAUCAGUUGCGAAGGCGNCU
Molecule: ribosomal RNA, 410 nt
Filed under: uncultured soil bacterium C0138
Lineage: Bacteria
Description: bacterial SSU rRNA
Rfam family: Bacterial small subunit ribosomal RNA
Source: RNAcentral